AAUAUUGCACAAUGGGGGAACCCCUGAUGCAGCGACGCCGCGUGAGCGAAGAAGGCCUUCGGGUCGUAAAGCUCUGUCCUAAGGGUAGAAACGGACUGUACCUUUGGAGGUAGCACCUGCUAACUAACUGCCCGCAGCCGCGGUAAUACGUAGGGGGCGAGCGUUAGCCGGAAUUAUUGGGCGUAAAGGGUGCGUAGGCGGCUUUUUAAGUCAGAUGUGAAAGGCUACGGCUUAACCGUAGUUAGCAUUUGAAACUAAAAGGCUUGAAUGCAGGAGAGGAGAGUGGAAUUCCUAGUGUAGCGGUGAAAUGCGUAGAUAUUAGGAGGAACACCAGUGGCGAAGGCGACUCUCUGGACUGCAACUGACGCUGAGGCACGAAAGCGUGGGGAGCGAACAG
Molecule: ribosomal RNA, 397 nt
Filed under: uncultured bacterium
Lineage: Bacteria
Description: partial 16S ribosomal RNA
Rfam family: Bacterial small subunit ribosomal RNA
Source: RNAcentral